CUAAGCCGUAAGUUUUUGUUACAGCUGGCACACCUGCUUGCAAACUAGAAAAUCUGAUUCUAGUAGAAAGUGGACUAAGUCUUAAGAGAGAUAAGCCGGUCUUUAUACACUGGCCCUACUUCGAAUUCAGUCAGUGGCCAGAUGCAUUGUAAGCAAUUCCAGUCCCAGCUGCUGAGGUGGCGUAGUCAGCCCUACCUAAGUAUUGAACAAAACCAACCAUUUGUAAAAUAUUAUCCUAUCCUGCAUAUUAAUUAAGACCACUUAUUAGAUCAAGGUUGGCAUACAUAGCAUAGGAAGGUGGAGCUUUGGUCGUGGACAGUAGGGGAGACAAGUAAAAUAAUGAGUCAAAUAAUGAGUAGAGAAGGCAAGCCCAAGAGUGUAAGAGCACAAGAUGAAGCAUGGCCUUGGCAUAUGAGAUUUGGCCAUUUGCACUUGAUAAAAGAAGAUGGAAAAAGGGAUGCCCAAACCAAAUCAACCUGUUCAGCAUGUAUUUUAGGAAAAGAUAG
This 506-nucleotide long non-coding RNA is filed under the name Oryza brachyantha (malo sina). RNAcentral describes it as "long non-coding RNA (OBRA_LNC003506)". Lineage: Eukaryota; Viridiplantae; Streptophyta; Magnoliopsida; Poales; Poaceae. The record is from RNAcentral.